UACGUAGGGAGCGAGCGUUGUCCGGAAUUACUGGGUGUAAGGGGAGCGUAGGCGGGCGAGAAAGUUGAAUGUUAAAUCUACCGGCUUAACUGGUAGCUGCGUUCAAAACUUCUUGUCUUGAGUGAAGUAGAGGCAGGCGGAAUUCCUAGUGUAGCGGUGAAAUGCGUAGAUAUUAGGAGGAACACCAGUGGCGAAGGCGGCCUGCUGGGCUUUAACUGACGCUGAGGCUCGAAAGCGUGGGGAGCAAACAGG
Molecule: ribosomal RNA, 252 nt
Filed under: uncultured bacterium
Lineage: Bacteria
Description: partial 16S ribosomal RNA
Rfam family: Bacterial small subunit ribosomal RNA
Source: RNAcentral